Molecule: ribosomal RNA, 459 nt
Filed under: Thyreodon sp. CNC 422409
Lineage: Eukaryota; Metazoa; Arthropoda; Insecta; Hymenoptera; Ichneumonidae
Description: partial 28S ribosomal RNA
Source: RNAcentral
CCUGAGAAACCCAAAAGAUCGAAUGGGGAGAUUCAUCGUCAGCGAUCCUGGCACGUGCGCGGUUCGUGAUGCCCUAAGGCUUCGGCCUUGAGGUACACGUCCGUGUGGGUUUUUUGCCUGGUGUCGUCGGCGUGCACUUCUCCCCUAGUAGGACGUCGCGACCCGUUGGGUGUCGGUCUACGGCCCGGAUGGGUGCCUGUCAUGUGUACGACGCUUCGCGGCGUCAUGUGGCUGACAGACCUCCGGUUGCCUGACCAGCUGCCCGGCGGUACUCGCACGGUAUCGAGCCGCAAUUUCGAACUGCGUCCGGCCCGCCGCAAGCGAGGCCAGUGUUACCCGGAUGUACGGACCUGGUGCCGUCGCCGGGCCUGGCCAGCUGUUGGCUGGCGGUGUCCUGGGACUGGCCCUUUAACACAAUGAUACCGGUCGGCGACGCUACUGCUUUGGGUACUUUCAGGA